UAGCUCAGUGGUAGAGCACUUGCCUAGCAUGCUUGAGGCCCUGGGUUCCAUCCCCAG
This 57-nucleotide transfer RNA is filed under the name Marmota monax (woodchuck). It matches the Rfam family "tRNA", at positions 8 to 63 of the family's 71-position model. From Rfam's summary of the family: Transfer RNA (tRNA) molecules are approximately 80 nucleotides in length. Their secondary structure includes four short double-helical elements and three loops (D, anti-codon, and T loops). Lineage: Eukaryota; Metazoa; Chordata; Mammalia; Rodentia; Sciuridae. RNAcentral also lists the same sequence under 2 other names. The record is from Rfam by way of RNAcentral.